Molecule: ribosomal RNA, 497 nt
Filed under: uncultured bacterium
Lineage: Bacteria
Description: partial 16S ribosomal RNA
Rfam family: Bacterial small subunit ribosomal RNA
Source: RNAcentral
GAUGAACGCUGGCGGCGUGCCUAAUACAUGCAAGUCGAGCGAACAGACGAGGAGCUUGCUCCUCUGACGUUAGCGGCGGACGGGUGAGUAACACGUGGAUAACCUACCUAUAAGACUGGGAUAACUUCGGGAAACCGGAGCUAAUACCGGAUAAUAUAUUGAACCGCAUGGUUCAAUAGUGAAAGACGGUUUUGCUGUCACUUAUAGAUGGAUCCGCGCCGCAUUAGCUAGUUGGUAAGGUAACGGCUUACCAAGGCAACGAUGCGUAGCCGACCUGAGAGGGUGAUCGGCCACACUGGAACUGAGACACGGCCCAGACUCCUACGGGAGGCAGCAGUAGGGAAUCUUCCGCAAUGGGGGAAAGCCUGACGGAGCAACGCCGCGUGAGUGAUGAAGGUCUUCGGAUCGUAAAACGCUGUUAUUAGGGAAGAACAAAUGUGUAAGUAACUAUGCACGGCUUGACGGUACCUAAUCAGAAAGCCACGGCUAACUACGUG